Molecule: ribosomal RNA, 450 nt
Filed under: uncultured bacterium
Lineage: Bacteria
Description: bacterial SSU rRNA
Rfam family: Bacterial small subunit ribosomal RNA
Source: RNAcentral
GUGGGGAAUUUUGGACAAUGGGCGCAAGCCUGAUCCAGCAAUGCCGCGUGCAGGAAGAAGGCCUUCGGGUUGUAAACUGCUUUUGUACGGAACGAAACGGCUCUGGUUAAUACCUGGGGCUAAUGACGGUACCGUAAGAAUAAGCACCGGCUAACUACGUGCCAGCAGCCGCGGUAAUACGUAGGGUGCAAGCGUUAAUCGGAAUUACUGGGCGUAAAGCGUGCGCAGGCGGUUUUGUAAGACAGGCGUGAAAUCCCCGGGCUCAACCUGGGAACUGCAUUUGUGACUGCAAGGCUGGAGUGCGGCAGAGGGGGAUGGAAUUCCGCGUGUAGCAGUGAAAUGCGUAGAUAUGCGGAGGAACACCGAUGGCGAAGGCAAUCCCCUGGGCCUGCACUGACGCUCAUGCACGAAAGCGUGGGGAGCAAACAGGAUUAGAAACCCUAGUAGUCC